AGCAUAUCAAUAAGCGGAGGAAAAGAAACCAACAGGGAUUGCCCCAGUAACGGCGAGUGAAGCGGCAACAGCUCAGAUUUGAAAUCUGGCCCUCUACGGGGUCCGAGUUGUAAUCUGUAGAGGAUGCUUUUGGCGACGCGCCUUCCGAGUCCCCUGGAACGGGGCGCCAGAGAGGGUGAGAGCCCCGUAUGGUCGGACGCCGAACCUUUGUAAAGCUCCUUCGACGAGUCGAGUAGUUUGGGAAUGCUGCUCAAAAUGGGAGGUAAAUUUCUUCUAAAGCUAAAUACCGGCCAGAGACCGAUAGCGCACAAGUAGAGUGAUCGAAAGAUGAAAAGCACUUUGAAAAGAGGGUUAAAUAGCACGUGAAAUUGCUGAAAGGGAAGCGCUUGUGACCAGACUUGCGCCCGGUUGAUCAUCCAGCGUUCUCGCUGGUGCACUCUGCCGGGCUCAGGCCAGCAUCGGCUCCCCCAGGGGGAUAAAGGUCGCGGGAACGUAGCUCUCUCCGGGGAGUGUUAUAGCCCGUGGCGGAAUACCCUUAGGGGGGGUCGAGGCCCGCGUUCGCAAGGAUGCUGGCGUAAUGGUCACCAGCGACCCGUCUUGAAACACGGACCAAGGAGUCAAGCAUUAGGGCGAGUCUUUGGGUGUAAAACCCGCAGGCGCAAUGAAAGUGAACGGAGGUGAGAGCUUCGGCGCAUCAUCGACCGAUCCUGAUGUUCUCGGAUGGAUUUGAGUAAGAGCCUUACCGCUUGGACCCGAAAGAUGGUGAACUAUGCCUGAAUAGGGUGAAGCCAGAGGAAACUCUGGUGGAGGCUCGCAGCGGUUCUGACGUGCAAAUCGAUCGUCAAAUUUGGGCAUGGGGGCGAAAGACUAAUCGAACCAUCUAGUAGCU
Molecule: ribosomal RNA, 889 nt
Filed under: Distoseptispora rayongensis
Lineage: Eukaryota; Fungi; Ascomycota; Sordariomycetes; Distoseptisporaceae
Description: LSU rRNA
Rfam family: Eukaryotic large subunit ribosomal RNA
Source: RNAcentral